UUGCACAGGAGGCAGUCUCUCUCGAUACUCUCACUGAAGGAGGCCCUUUCUCCUGCAGCAGAGCAAACCUGGGAGAUGGCUCAAGCUGUGAUCGGAUUACUUCUCAUCUUGCUGCCAGUGCCAUGUCGAGCCAAGAGUGUGAUGUUUCAGCAAUCUCAUCCAAUAAUAAUCAAC
Micropterus salmoides (largemouth bass) is the source of this 174-nucleotide long non-coding RNA. RefSeq lists it as uncharacterized. The transcript has 2 exons. NCBI's taxonomy places the organism in Eukaryota, Metazoa, Chordata, Actinopteri, Centrarchiformes, Centrarchidae. The record is from RefSeq and is a predicted model, not a curated record.